This 402-nucleotide ribosomal RNA is filed under the name uncultured bacterium. RNAcentral describes it as "bacterial SSU rRNA". It matches the Rfam family "Bacterial small subunit ribosomal RNA", at positions 356 to 775 of the family's 1533-position model. The record is from RNAcentral.
UAGGAAUAUUAGUAAUGGGCGAAAGCCUGAACUAGCAACGCCGCGUGUGCGAAGAAGGCCUUCGGGUUGUAAGGCACUUUUUGAGAGGAUGAGGAAGGACGGUACUCUCAGAAUAAGUCUCGGCUAACUACGUGCCAGCAGCCGCGGUAACACGUAGGAGGCGAACGUUAUCCGGAUUUACUGGGCGUAAAGCGCGUGUAGGUGGUUUGGUAAGUAGGGCGUGAAAGCUCCUGGCUCAACUGGGAGAGGCCGUUCUAAACUGCCGAACUAGAGGAUGGUAGAGGGAGGUGGAAUUCCGGGUGUAGCGGUGGAAUGCGCAGAUAUCCGGAGGAACACCAGUGGCGAAAGCGGCCUCCUGGACCAUUCCUGACACUCAGACGCGAAAGCUAGGGUAGCAAACGG